Molecule: ribosomal RNA, 440 nt
Filed under: uncultured bacterium
Lineage: Bacteria
Description: partial 16S ribosomal RNA
Rfam family: Bacterial small subunit ribosomal RNA
Source: RNAcentral
CCUACGGGUGGCAGCAGUGGGGAAUAUUGCACAAUGGGGGAAACCCUGAUGCAGCGACGCCGCGUGAGUGAAGAAGUAUUUCGGUUUGUAAAGCUCUAUUAGCAGGGAAGAAAAUGACGGUACCUGAUUAAGAAGCCCCGGCCAACUACGUGCCAGCAGCCGCGGUAAUACGGAGGGGGCAAGCGUUAUCCGGAUUUACUGGGGGUAAAGGGGGCGUAGACGGGAGCGCAAGUAUUGAGUGACAUGCCGGGGCUUAACCCCGGAACUGCUUUGGAAACUGUGCAGCUAGAGUGCAGGAGAGGUAAGUGGAAUUCCUAGUGUAGCGGUGAAAUGCGUAGAUAUUAGGAGGAACACCAGUGGCGAAGGCGGCUUACUGGACUGUAACUGACGUUGAGGCUCGAAAGCGUGGGGAGCAAACAGGAUUAGAUACCCGGGUAGUC